Molecule: ribosomal RNA, 663 nt
Filed under: Salmonella enterica
Lineage: Bacteria; Pseudomonadati; Pseudomonadota; Gammaproteobacteria; Enterobacterales; Enterobacteriaceae
Also listed under: 1 other name
Description: partial 23S ribosomal RNA
Rfam family: Bacterial large subunit ribosomal RNA
Source: RNAcentral
AGGAUAGGUGGGAGGCUUUGAAGCGUGGACGCCAGUCUGCGUGGAGCCGACCUUGAAAUACCACCCUUUAAUGUUUGAUGUUCUAACGUGGACCCGUGAUCCGGGUUGCGGACAGUGUCUGGUGGGUAGUUUGACUGGGGCGGUCUCCUCCUAAAGAGUAACGGAGGAGCACGAAGGUUGGCUAAUCCUGGUCGGACAUCAGGAGGUUAGUGCAAUGGCAUAAGCCAGCUUGACUGCGAGCGUGACGGCGCGAGCAGGUGCGAAAGCAGGUCAUAGUGAUCCGGUGGUUCUGAAUGGAAGGGCCAUCGCUCAACGGAUAAAAGGUACUCCGGGGAUAACAGGCUGAUACCGCCCAAGAGUUCAUAUCGACGGCGGUGUUUGGCACCUCGAUGUCGGCUCAUCACAUCCUGGGGCUGAAGUAGGUCCCAAGGGUAUGGCUGUUCGCCAUUUAAAGUGGUACGCGAGCUGGGUUUAGAACGUCGUGAGACAGUUCGGUCCCUAUCUGCCGUGGGCGCUGGAGAACUGAGGGGGGCUGCUCCUAGUACGAGAGGACCGGAGUGGACGCAUCACUGGUGUUCGGGUUGUCAUGCCAAUGGCACUGCCCGGUAGCUAAAUGCGGAAGAGAUAAGUGCUGAAAGCAUCUAAGCACGAAACUUGCCCCGA